RNAcentral lists this ribosomal RNA (551 nucleotides) under Hepatozoon sp. BT-2018 PSA2. RNAcentral's name for it is "bacterial SSU rRNA". It matches the Rfam family "Eukaryotic small subunit ribosomal RNA", at positions 362 to 906 of the family's 1831-position model. The record is from RNAcentral. Lineage: Eukaryota; Apicomplexa; Hepatozoidae.
ACGGGGGAUUAGGGUUCGAUUCCGGAGAGGGAGCCUGAGAAACGGCUACCACAUCUAAGGAAGGCAGCAGGCGCGCAAAUUACCCAAUUCUAACAGCAUAAGAGAGGUAGUGACAAGAAAUAACAAUACAAGGCAGUUAAAAUGCUUUGUAAUUGGAAUGAUAGAAAUUUAAACACUUUUUAAAGUAUCAAUUGGAGGGCAAGUCUGGUGCCAGCAGCCGCGGUAAUUCCAGCUCCAAUAGCGUAUAUUAAAAUUGUUGCAGUUAAAAAGCUCGUAGUUGAAUUUCUGCUAAAAAUAACCGGUCUGCUUUUAACAAAAGUGGUAUCUUGGUGUGUUUUUAGCAAUAAUGUCCUUUGAAAUGUGUUUUACUUUGUUGUAAAAGAUAAUAUUCAGGAUUUUUACUUUGAGAAAAUUAGAGUGUUUCUAGCAGGCUAAUGUUUUGAAUACUGCAGCAUGGAAUAAUAAAAUAGAAUUUUAGUUCUACAUUGUUGGUUUUAAGAGCUGAAUUAAUGAUUGAUAGGGACAGUUGGGGGCAUUUGUAUUUAACUGUC